RNAcentral lists this ribosomal RNA (1512 nucleotides) under Panthera leo (lion). RNAcentral describes it as "partial 12S ribosomal RNA". The stretch from base 1 to 463 matches the Rfam family "Bacterial small subunit ribosomal RNA", at positions 887 to 1533 of the family's 1533-position model. The record is from RNAcentral. Lineage: Eukaryota; Metazoa; Chordata; Mammalia; Carnivora; Felidae.
UUUUUUNNUUUUUUGGUGGGGACGNGGCGGUGCUUNNNNCCCNCAANAGGACCCUGUUCNAUAACCGAAAAACCCCGAUAAACCCCACCAUCUCUUGCUAAUUCACCCUAUAUACCGCCAUCUUCACCAAACCCUAAAAAGGAAAAAAAGUAAGCACAAGUGUCUUAACACAAAAAAGUUAGGUCAGGGUGUAGCCUAUGAGAGGGGAAGCAAGGGGCUACAUUUUCUACAAUUAAAACACCCACGAAAAUCCUUAAGAAACUAAGCAUUCAGGGAGGAUUUAGCAGUAAAUUUGAAAAUAGAGAGCUCAAUUGAAUCGGGCCAUGAAGCACGCACACCCCGCCCGUCACCCUCCUCAAGUGACUAGUCCCUAAAGAAACCUAUUCAAACCACUACAUCCACAAGAGGAAACAAGUCGUAACAAGGUAAGCAUACUGGAAAGUGGGCUUGGAUGACAAGAUGUAUCUUAAACUAAAGCGUCGGGCUUACACCCAAAAGAUUUCAUAUUAAACUGACCGUCUUGAGCCAAAGCUAGCCCAAUCAUCUACAAACGCAACUAACACUANAAAGUAAAAUAAAACAUUUANUUACCCCAUAAAAGUAUAGGAGAUAGAAAUUUAACUUGGCGCCAUAAAGAAAGUACCGCAAGGGAAGGAUGAAAGAAAAAACUAAAAGCACUAUAUAGCAAAGAUUGCCCCUUGUACCUUUUGCAUAAUGAGUUAGCUAGUAACAGCCUAACAAAGAGAACUUCAGCUAGGCCCCCCGAAACCAGACGAGCUACCCAUGAACAAUCUAUUACAGGAUGAACUCAUCUAUGUUGCAAAAUAGUGAGAAGAUUUAUGGGUAGAGGUGAAAAGCCUAACGAGCCUGGUGAUAGCUGGUUGCCCAGAACAGAAUCUUAGUUCAACUUUAAACUUACCUCAAAACCCUAAAAUUCCAAUGUAAGUUUAAAUUAUAGUCUAAAAAGGUACAGCUUUUUAGAACUAGGAUACAGCCUUAAUUAGAGAGUAAGCACAAACACAAACCAUAGUUGGCCUAAAAGCAGCCACCAAUUAAGAAAGCGUUCAAGCUCGACAAUCAAAACAUCUCAAUGUCAAAAAACGUAACCAACUCCUAACCUAAAACUGGGCUAAUCUAUUUAAUAAUAGAAGCAAUAAUGCUAAUAUGAGUAACAAGAAGCAUUUCUCCCGUGCAUAAGCUUAUAUCANAACGGAUAACCACUGAUAGUUAACAACAAGAUAGAUACAACCUANCUACAAGCAAAAUAUCAAACUAAUUGUUAACCCAACACAGGCAUGCAAUCCAGGGAAAGANUAAAAGAAGUAAAAGGAACUCGGCAAACACAAGCCCCGCCUGUUUACCAAAAACAUCACCNCUAGCAUUUCCAGUAUUAGAGGCACUGCCUGCCCAGUGANCAUUANUUAAANGGCNGCGGUAUCCUGACCGNGCAAAGGUAGCAUAAUCAUUUGNNCCNNAAUNGGGACNUGUAUGAUNNNANNCNAGGGCUUANNG